GAUGAACGCUAGCGGCAGGCCUAACACAUGCAAGUCGAGGGGCAGCACAGGUAGCAAUACUGGGUGGCGACCGGCGCACGGGUGAGUAACGCGUAUGCAACCUACCUUUAACAGGAGAAUAGCCCCGAGAAAUCGGGAUUAAUACUCCAUAUCAUUUAUGAAUCGCAUGGUUUAUAAAUAAAAGUUCCGACGGUUAAAGAUGGGCAUGCGUGACAUUAGCUAGUUGGUGAGGUAACGGCCCACCAAGGCUACGAUGUCUAGGGGUUCUGAGAGGAUUAUCCCCCACACUGGUACUGAGACACGGACCAGACUCCUACGGGAGGCAACAGUGAGGAAUAUUGGUCAAUGGUCGCAAGACUGAACCAGCCAUGCCGCGUGCAGGAUGAAGGUUCUAUGAAUCGUAAACUGCUUUUCUAAGAAAAGAAACCUACUUACGUGUAAGUAGUUGCCGGUACUUUAGGAAUAAGCAUCGGCUAACUCCGUGCCAGCAGCCGCGGUAAUACGGAGGAUGCGAGCGUUAUCCGGAUUUAUUGGGUUUAAAGGGUGCGUAGGCGGAUCAUUAAGUCAGUGGUGAAAUCUUUCGGCUCAACUGGAAAAUUGCCAUUGAUACUGAUGAUCUUGAAUGCAGUUGAGGUAAGCGGAAUGUGUAAUGUAGCGGUGAAAUGCUUAGAUAUUACACAGAACACCGAUUGCGAAGGCAGCUUGCUAAACUGUGAUUGACGCUGAGGCACGAAAGCGUGGGGAUCAAACAGGAUUAGAUACCCUGGUAGUCCACGCUGUAAACGAUGAUUACUCGUUGUUUGCGAUAUACAGCAAGCGACUGAGCGAAAGCAUUAAGUAAUCCACCUGGGGAGUACGUUCGCAAGAAUGAAACUCAAAGGAAUUGACGGG
This 891-nucleotide ribosomal RNA is filed under the name uncultured Bacteroidota bacterium. RNAcentral's name for it is "bacterial SSU rRNA". It matches the Rfam family "Bacterial small subunit ribosomal RNA", at positions 28 to 917 of the family's 1533-position model. Lineage: Bacteria; Pseudomonadati; Bacteroidota. The record is from RNAcentral.